CCUACGGGAGGCAGCAGUGAGGAAUAUUGGUCAAUGGGCGCGAGCCUGAACCAGCCAAGCCGCGUGAAGGAUGACUGCCCUACGGGUUGUAAACUUCUUUUAUAAGGGAAUAAAGUGAUGCACGUGUGCCUUUCUGUAUGUACUUUAUGAAUAAGAAUCGGCUAACUCCGUGCCAGCAGCCGCGGUAAUACGGAGGGUCCGAGCGUUAUCCGGAUUUAUUGGGUUUAAAGGGAGCGUAGAUGGGUGGUUAAGUCAGUUGUGAAAGUGUGCGGCUCAACCGUAGAAUUGCAAUUGAUACUGGCAGUCUUGAGUGCAGUUGAGGUAGGCGGAAUUCGUGGUGUAGCGGUGAAAUGCUUAGAGAUCACGAAGAACUCCGAUUGCGAAGGCAGCUUACUAAACUGCCACUGACAUUGAUGCUCGAAAGUGUGGGUAUCAAACAGGAUUAGAUACCCUUGUAGUC
RNAcentral lists this ribosomal RNA (460 nucleotides) under uncultured bacterium. RNAcentral describes it as "partial 16S ribosomal RNA". It matches the Rfam family "Bacterial small subunit ribosomal RNA", at positions 338 to 795 of the family's 1533-position model. The record is from RNAcentral.